UUUAAAGGAGGCGAGGGCGCGGUCUGCGCGCGGGGCGGCGGGGCGCGGGGCCGCCGAGCUGUGGCUUCUCCUGCGCCCAGGCUCGCUGAGGUGUGGCCUCUUCUGCUCCAGAAUUCUCGCCCGGGCUGUUUCCAGCUCGGAGCCGAGGUGGAGGUGGACAUCGCCAGACUCUUAUCUUCGAGGAAAACGCCGGCCAGAGGUCCAAAUAUGGGGGAAUGGAAACGGGGAUAAAGGGCAGUGGUCUAUGCCAAGAGAGCUACCCAAAGAGGAUUUUCCAGCAGUCUGGAUGUCUGGGUCACAGCCUGGGAAUCCCACCCCUCCACCACUAUCUCUUGAGCCUGUUCAUGGGUGAUCACCUCCUCCACACGCCAAUACCCAGGGUUCUUCGUCUACAAACCGCCUCUGUUCCACUCGGAAGGGCCUCUUCCCAGUGCCAGUGAUAACCUCGAUGAUUACAGAUCCCCACACUUGGGGUGAUGAUGUGUUAUCCUGCUCUUCAAGACCCCACAAUAGCUGGGAGCUCUCUCCAAGGCUCCUCUCCCAAGUUUCCCCGACUGGACCAAGUCACUACCAGAGGACUUACGGGGGGAGGGAGAAGUUUUGACACUGAUGAAUCAGAGGCACAGUAGAAAUGGGCCCCAUACCCCAGCCCCCGGGACAUUGCUGGCAGCCUACACAGGGAGCCAAGCCCUGGUCCAGUUCACCUGCCCUGCCAGUCUAAUGGCUCCCCAAGAUCUCCUGUAGAAGCAGCGGGCCUGAAAGGGUGGCCCAGCAUCCCUCACGCUUAUAGUGCUCCAGGCUCUGCAUACUCAGAGUGCUCCCACCCCAACCUGAGCCCAGGGAGUCCACGGGCAGGUAGACUAACAAUCCAGGCCUGGCUACACACGGAGACCCCCACCAAAUAAUGGGUUUGAAGCACGUUAAAGUCUCCCUGGUGUUUGCACCCUUCAGGACGCAUUUCCCUUUGCAGACUCAGCCUCAUCUUCCGUCCAGCCUGGAGACUCGGAGGCCACAGAGGACAGAAGAGCCUCAGCUUCCAACUUGCUUGUGCUCACCGUCUCUCUGAGGCACCCGGCCAAGCUGUGAACUAGAGAGCCUGCCAGCAGGGCCCGGGGGGUUCCAACACUUCAGCUCCUGGCCUCAUACAAGGGGACGCUGAGACAGAGCCCAGGACACGCUCACAAAGACACCAUCACCGGAGCUCCGCUGUACUGAGUUACGGGGGAAGGGGACAUCCCUCCUCCAGGAUACCUCACGGCCCUCAUCAGUGGGCCAUGACCUUGGCUGACUCCCCCCCCCCCCCGCCCCCAGGAUGUCAUAUAAGACAUCCUGGAGAACUUGAAGCUCUAGGGGAAGGCACAGCUGGGCCACAAUCCUGAAGCCCGACCUUACCCCAAAACAUACAACUUACACAGACACCUUUCCUGCGUGUGUGUGUGGGGGGGGUGCUAAGCGUGCGGUGCCUGCGACCCAGGCAGCUGGCUGGGUGGGACAGCGGGCCCAUUUGUCCUCCGUAGGCACUCUGGGGACCUGGAGGACGGCUCUGGGCUAUGUGAGUGCCUCUCAUGUAUCCCCACCCUCAGGCAAGAGAGCAAGGCCAGAGAGCUGUCACGUUCCCGAGGCAGUUCAGUGCAAGGACCAGGCUGCCCCCACCAAGAUGCCUGCCCUGGGUGCUCAUCAUAGCCAAGCCUGCGGACAUUGCUUGUGUCCUGCAGGUCAGGUGAGACGACCACCCCCCACCCCCACCCACCCCAUGGCACAUGAGUCAUGGAGAGGGCACUGGAGACACCAGGUACGAAACAUCCCUGGCACUUGAGUUCCUGGGUGGUAGCAGUGUGGUUCCAGCCCAACCCCGGGCAUGGCGGAGACCCUGCAUCUGCCCAGAGUACACAACUCUCUGGGAUGGGCAGAACUGUACCCAUUUCCUCUCAACUGAGGCCUGCUCAGCCUCCACUCCUGCAGACUACACAGCUUGUGCAGUGUUCCAAGGCUGAACAUUUAAGCCGGUCCCCCCCUGAGCUGUCCGCUCCCUCCGCCUGCCAGUAUCCCAGACCGGCUGCACCAGCUCACUGAAAGCCACCUGCCUCCCAGAGCAUCUACUUGCACAGUCUGAGGAGGAACGGAGGGGUUUGUAUGGAGACCUUGCUACCCCCUCGGGACACUGUUCCUCACCCCGGGUCACAAUGCUCAAAGCCAGUGGCCACCAAUAAAAAUUACACAAGCUUUA
Long non-coding RNA from Mesocricetus auratus (golden hamster), 2227 nucleotides. RefSeq lists it as uncharacterized. The transcript has 3 exons. NCBI's taxonomy places the organism in Eukaryota, Metazoa, Chordata, Mammalia, Rodentia, Cricetidae. The record is from RefSeq and is a predicted model, not a curated record.